RNAcentral lists this non-coding RNA (2288 nucleotides) under Pongo abelii (Sumatran orangutan). Lineage: Eukaryota; Metazoa; Chordata; Mammalia; Primates; Hominidae. The record is from RNAcentral.
UGACUCUCUUUUCAGACUCAGCCCGCCUGCACCUAGGUGAUUAAAAGCUUUAUUGCUCACACAAAGCCUGUUUGGUGGUCUCUUCACACAGACAUGCAUGAAACCCAGUAAUCUACUUCAAGUUUCCUAGCUCUUCCCUAUGCCAUCUUCAUUAUGUUUGUGAGCCUAUCCAGUAUUUUAUUUCAAUUACUGUCUUUUUAUUUCUAAAAUUUCCAAUUAGUUCUUUAUAUCUUCUAUUUCUUUGUUGAUAUUUUUCUAUCUUUCCAUUCAUACCCCAGGGCUGAGGGAGCGUAUCCAAGGAAGGGCCAACUUGGAAGGGGUUCAGCCCAUCAGAUAGCAGAUAAGUCCUCUGGUUUGGGCAGGCUAGUCUGGAGUUGCUGGGCAACUAAUAGAAGAACCCCUCAAGCGCAGGUAGGGACCGCCAAUCAGCAACCGGUGGCAUGGCCAUGUGAUGGAAGUCCAGACGGCCUUCAGAGUGUGUGGACCACACAGGCACUUGCAGAAGGCGUGGCAGGUUGGCAUGUGACCCUCAGGGGCACAGGCAGCUGUGUGCAGGCAAUAUGGAGGCUUGCGAAGAAAGUCGAAAUACAAGCACAGGCAGGAGGUCUUCAGAGCACGUGGGCUGCACAAGGGCUCUAUGUUCUGGCUCAAGAGAGCUGUAGAAAGGUGACUGCAAGGCCAAGGAUGCAAAGUCGCAAAGGGACUGUUCUGAGCCCAUGCUUGGGGCAGGUUCCGAUGGAUAUUCUCACAUGCACACUGCUGAUCCCCAGCCCACGCCAAAAAAAGGCAGGAAGCCUCUUCCUACUACCUUGCCUCUCCAGUGCCUUCUACUGAGAAAGCAUAGCACUGCGCUCACUUUAAAGGGCCAAUAUUUAAAGGAAUGCCAUUGUAUAACACAGGGUAUAUUUAUUGAGUGGCGCAUUCAAAGCUGAGAGGCAGUAAGUUGAUAACUGACACCGUGGGUAACCAAUUUGGUUGAGUUCUGACCUCAAAUUCCAACCUGCCUUCUGUGGGUUGUGAUCCCCAUGUCAGGUCAGUUUUCAGUCUUCCUGGUGCUAUUCAGCUAUGUUCCGUGUGCGCCCCCCAGUGGCCAGUCUACGGCGUGGCUGAAGGUCUAUCCCAGUGUUCAGGUCUAACAUCUUUGGAGCGCUGGUUAGGGUCAGAUCCACACAUGCGCAGCUCGGGGAGGAGCCCAGGAAUAAACUCACGGAGCUGUUUUCUCCAAAUUCCUCCCUCUCUGUGAUCUCCCUGGUCCUCUCCUGAUCGCUGGGCUCCCUUUUUCGGUCCUCUGGCCAAAAACUUGGUGUUGUAAUUACCCUGCUCUGCCGUGCACUUCCUACAACUGUACCCACAGUCGCGGCCAAGCAGCGAAGAUUUAAGAGAGUAAGAAAGCGUGACGGUUUGCUCCACUAUUUUGGGCUAUAGCUCCUCUAAUCAGAAAAGGAAGGUUCUCUGCAUGUCCCACUUUAUAUGAAAUCUAAAAAAGUUGAACUCGUAGAAGUAGAGCGUAGAAAGAGGUUGGGGCCGGGGAGGAAGGGAAUGGGGAGUUACUGGUCAAAGGGUACAAAGUUUCGGAUAGGUAGGAGGAAUGUUUUGAAAUCUAUUGCAUAGCGCAGGGCGACUAUAGUCAAUAAUAAAGUAUUGCAUAUUUCAAAAUCACUGAAAGGGUAAAUUUCAAAUAUCUACCAUAAAAAUGGUAGGUAAAAGAAGUGCAUUUAAUUUUUCUUUUACCACUUUUCUUACUCUGUUAUCUUCAGCUCAGGAGUAUCUAACCUGCAAAGAUCUUAAUUAAGGCUUUGGCUUUCGACUUAAAAGUCUCCAUAAAGGAACGCUACGCAUCAUCCUGAAAGUAAAGAUCAAAGUCCACAGCCAGUGGUGAAGAAACAUUAAUAAGAGAAUCAGUCAGCCUAGUUUUUUUGAGGAAAUCUCUACACAGAUCCCAAGUCUACACAUAAAAGCCAAAGUAAAGUUAACUGCAUUUGAGCAGUGUGGGCAGCCCAGCCAGCCACAGUAACUGAAGCUGGAAGAAUUACUCCCUACACACAGGGCUCGUGUUCUCUAGAUCAACCAGACACAUCACAGACUCUGUUGUUGAUGUUCUUUCAUUUCCUUAGGCCAGUCAGCCUUUGGCAAGUAGCCAGAGCUGUACAUUAACUGCCCCUACAUUUUAAAAAUCAUUGCUUAUGAAUUGCUAUGCAUUAACUUAGAGAAAGGUAAUUCUAAUUCCCAUCUUAGAGGAAUGGUCUCUUCUUAAUGCCUUUGUGUUCUAAAUAUUUGAUCAUGUCAAC